GAUGAAGAACGCAGCGAAAUGCGAUAAGUAAUGUGAAUUGCAGAAUUCAGUGAAUCAUCGAGUCUUUGAACGCACAUUGCGCCCCCUGGUAUUCCGGGGGGCAUGCCUGUCCGAGCGUCAUUGCUGCCCUCAAGCACGGCUUGUGUGUUGGGCCCCCGCCCCCCGGCUUCGGGGGGCGGGCCCGAAAGGCAGCGGCGGCACCGCGUCCGGUCCUCGAGCGUAUGGGGCUUCGUCACCCGCUCUGUAGGCCCGGCCGGCGCCCGCCGGCGACCCCAAUCAAUCUUUCCAGGUUGACCUCGGAUCAGGUAGGGAUACCCGCUGAACUUAAGCAUAUCAUAAGCGGAGGA
This 347-nucleotide unclassified non-coding RNA is filed under the name soil metagenome. RNAcentral describes it as "partial contains 5.8S ribosomal RNA, internal transcribed spacer 2, and large subunit ribosomal RNA". The stretch from base 1 to 120 matches the Rfam family "5.8S ribosomal RNA", at positions 35 to 154 of the family's 154-position model. The record is from RNAcentral.